Molecule: non-coding RNA, 45 nt
Filed under: Schistosoma japonicum
Lineage: Eukaryota; Metazoa; Platyhelminthes; Trematoda; Strigeidida; Schistosomatidae
Also listed under: 1 other name
Source: RNAcentral
AUCUAGCCGAUGAGUCCCAAAUAGGACGAAACGCGCGUCCUGGAU